CAGCUGGAGGGCCCUGUCUCCACCAGCUCGUAAAACCGGAGGACGUCUGAGGAAGGGAACCACGCCAAUUGACGCCAGGCAGGCUGUCUCAUGGAGCCCUGAAAAGCUGUCAAAGAUGCGCUAAGCCUUCCAGGAUGGGGAUCUCACCUGAGGAGCAAAGCCAGUGAGAUGCUUCAGACCUAAGGGGAGAAGGCGCCUUGCAGAAGCUGGUUAACUCCAACCACCUGAGAGCCCCAGGAACGACAACAGGUCACUCUAGGUGACUCAUGACUCAUGCCACGUCGUGAGGAAAGCCCAGGGAGAGGCUCACGUGGCAAGAAACUGACGCCUGAAGAACUGAGUGAGCUUUCUUGGAAGUAGAUCCCUGAGCCCCAGAUGAUGGCAGUCCAGGCCAACAACUGACUCCAACCUCAUGAGACCCUGGGCCAGAACCACCCAGCGGAGCCACCUCCAGACUCCUGACCUACAGAAGCAGCGAGCAUCCUCUGCUCUGGAUUUUCGGCAGACACAGACCCAGAAGGGGCCACCAGUGAUGAAGACUGGGAGGAGAGGAGCGUCAUUUCUAGAAGGGAAAAGAGAACUGGUUAGCAGCUCUGGGUGUAAAAGCAGCACCCUUCCACAGUUUGAGGCAAACAGAACCCAUUUCCUGAGAACCAAAGGUCUCACUAUUGUCAACCCUCAGGAAAUCAGAUCGCACAUGUCAGUUGUAAACAGGGACAGCUGAAGCGCUUAGAAAGCCAUCACUGCAGAGAGAACUCCAACCUGUGCAAUACCAUUUUGAGAAUGUGUCCUGAAAAGAAGUAGCUAGCCCACUUUGAGUGAACAAAGCAUGUCUACAAGCUCCUUGCAAAAGAGGUUAGAGGGGUCUGACCUUAUAAGACUUGCUUUCACUUAAUCAGAUAUAAAACAUGGUCCAUGAUCAAAGCACCAGAAAUAACAAGCUGGAAGUUCAAAAUACAGAUGUAGCACAUUAAACAGAAUAUUAUGGGGAACACAGAACAAUGCCAACUAAGGGUAAAAUAAAAAAUAAGAAAUUAUCCAUCUGAGAUCUGGAUAAUUAUAGGACCUAUCAUUUUCCAGUCACUGUAAUGGUAGGUCAACACUAGCAUAUAAUGAAAUAGGUAAAAAAAAUUGUUUAGAUUUUCCCUAUGAAAACCUUAACCAAAACUCACAAGCAGGUUUUGUUACUCAAAUGUCCUAGUAGAUACAAACUUACUAUAAACAUGAAGCUUAUCAAUGGUAUUUUCAAGUAUAAGAAUCUCUAAGAACUAAACUGCAUUAUUCUAAAAAACAAAUAUGUAUCCUGUCAUUAGCUUUUACAAUUAUCUGACUAUUACUUAGAUACACAGGAUGAGAGAGUUAUCUAUAAACAUGGAACAGCGUUUGUUCAUCUGAAAUGAGCAUUAAACAUGGUAAUAAGCAAAGGAAAAGAACAGCAGUGAAACAAUCAGCCUCUGCUUAGUCUAUCAAAUUCUUUAUGAUCCAAUUAAACAACUACAAAUUUGGUAUGUAAAUAUACUAGUAAGUCUGAGUACAAUUACAGGACUAUUUUAACCCAGGUUUAAGAAGCAAAAACACAAGUGUUCAAACUACUUAAGGAAAGUCGGCCUUCACAGCAGAUUUUAUUCUCCAAAACACUUUCCACACUGCUUUCUCUCAGAAGUUAGGAAUUCUGGGACGGGUGCAGUGGCUCACGCCCAUGAUCCCAGCACUUUGGGAGGCCAAGGCUGGCAGAUCACUUGAGGUCAGGAGUUCGAGACCAGCCUGGCCAACAUGGCAAGCUUCCAUCUCUACUAAAAAUACAAAAAUGCUAAGCAUAGUGGCACACACCUGUGAUCCCAGGUACUUGGGAGGCUGAGUCAUGAGAAUCACUUGAACCCAGGAGGCAGAGGUUGCAGCGACACGAGAUAGUGCCAUUAUUGCACUCCAGACUGGGUGACAGAGAAAGACCCUGUCUCAAAAAAGUAAUUCCAGUGUUUUAGAAUACAACCCAAAUUCUGGUUUCUAGAUGCCAUUCUCCACUAAAAGGAGGCAGGGUUCUUUGAAGAAAUGGCUAAUUCCAGGGCUGGGGCAGAGAAGGUAUAGCUGAGCCUGAAAUGUGGGAGAAAGUGAAGAAGUACUCAACAACAUGGUGGGGAUAGGUCAAAGGGCACAGAGGCCAGCUUGAAGGGGCUCCCACUGGCCAAUCUGGCACAAUUUGAGUAUAAAUGAAAAAGCACAAUGGAUUAUUCCACUGAAUAAGAACCUGUAAGUACAUAUUGAUAAUAUGUAAGUACAUAAAUAAAUGGGGGAGAAGAGAAAACUCUUUGUUAUGGUAGAAUGUCAGCUGAUAAAUAAGAGAAGAAAUAAUGGAGUCAGCAAAUCACCAUUUUAGGCCAAGUGUGGUGGCUCAUGCCUAUAAUCCCAGCACUUUGGGAGGCCGAGGUGGGUAGAUCACUUGAGCUUGGAGUUCAAGACCAGCCUGGGCAACAUGGUGAAACCUCACCUCUACAAAAAAUACAAAAAUUAGCAGCACAUGGACUGGCACACACCUAUAGUCCCAGCUACUCAGGAGGCUGAGGUGGGAGGAUGGCUUGAGCCUGGGUGGCAGAGGUUGCAGUAAGCUGAGAUUAUGCCACUGCACUCCAGCCUGAGUAAAAAAAAAAUCUGGCCAGGUGCAGUGGCUCACGCCUGUCAUCCCCGCACUUUGGGAGUCUGAGGCUGAGGCGGACAGAUCACCUGAGGUCAGAAGUUCGAGACCAGCCUGACCAACAUGGUGAAACCCCAUCUCUACUAAAAAUACAAAAAUUUGUAUUUUGCCUGUAAUUCCAGCUAUUCAGGAGGCUGAGGCAGAGGUUGCAGUGAGCCAAGAUUGCACCACUGCACUCCAGCCUGGGAGAACAGAGCAAGACUCCAUCUCAAAAAAAAAUCCAUGUUCAUACAAAAUACACACUGAAGCUUACUAAGGGGCACAAUAUAUGCAAUGUACUCUUAGUUCAUUAAAGAAAAAAAAACUGCAUGUGGAGAGUGGGGAUUGACAGAGAAUGAGAUAAAAACAGCAAAAUGUUAAAUAUGGGUGAAUUUGUAUAAAAUGUAUACAGGAGUUUUCAUUGUACUAUUGCAAUUUUCUGUAUAUUUGGUAUUAUUCAAAAUAAAACUUAAGACAUAACAGAAA
RNAcentral lists this long non-coding RNA (3154 nucleotides) under Homo sapiens (human). RNAcentral's name for it is "HSALNT0166997". Lineage: Eukaryota; Metazoa; Chordata; Mammalia; Primates; Hominidae. The record is from RNAcentral.